CGCGGGUGGGCUAGUGUUCAUCCGAGCCUCAUAAGCUUGGACUGCCAGGUGCGAUUCCUGGACCCGCCAC
Molecule: transfer RNA, 70 nt
Filed under: Aureliella helgolandensis
Lineage: Bacteria; Pseudomonadati; Planctomycetota; Planctomycetia; Pirellulales; Pirellulaceae
Description: Planctomycetes bacterium Q31a tRNA-Met
Source: RNAcentral